Molecule: ribosomal RNA, 387 nt
Filed under: Triticum aestivum (bread wheat)
Lineage: Eukaryota; Viridiplantae; Streptophyta; Magnoliopsida; Poales; Poaceae
Description: partial small subunit ribosomal RNA
Source: RNAcentral
AUGUCGAGCUCUAGCUCAGCGUACUCGAGCGAGAGAGAGAGAGCAGUAUCAUUUGCCCGGAGACACCAUAGCGUGAGCUUCGAUCUGGGAGUACCGAUGGGCAGAUUGCAAUACAGGGCGGAGAUUGUGGCAAAACGAAUGGAGAUUGAAAGAAAGGAUGAGACGGAAUUGGCAGCCUGCCCGGCCUCCACAGAAGAACCGUAUGAUUUGACCGAAGGAUUUGGCGAGAACGAUCCAGUCGCUUGCCUCGAUCCAGUGGAAGAGAUAGAACCUGAACCAUCUGUCGACCGACUCUUGACCGUUGUGCUGUACAAGCGGGCAUGGGCCUCAUGGGAGGACGACGGCGAGGUUGACAGCCUUGCGUGCAAGAGGCCCAAAUACUUGUAA